CCUACGGGCGGCUGCAGUGAGGAAUAUUGGUCAAUGGACGAGAGUCUGAACCAGCCAAGUAGCGUGAAGGAUGACUGCCCUAUGGGUUGUAAACUUCUUUUAUAAAGGAAUAAAACGAGGCACGUGUGCCUUUUUGCAUGUACUUUAUGAAUAAGGAUCGGCUAACUCCGUGCCAGCAGCCGCGGUAAUACGGAGGAUCCGAGCGUUAUCCGGAUUUAUUGGGUUUAAAGGGAGCGUAGAUGGGUUGUUAAGUCAGUUGUGAAAGGUUGCGGCUCAACCGUAAAAUUGCAAUUGAUACUGGCAGUCUUGAGUACAGUUGAGGUAGGCGGAAUUCGUGGUGUAGCGGUGAAAUGCUUAGAUAUCACGAAGAACCCCGAUUGCGAAGGCAGCUUACUAAACUGUGACUGACAUUGAUGCUCGAAAGUGUGGGUAUCAAACAGGAUUAGAUACCCGGGUAGUC
RNAcentral lists this ribosomal RNA (460 nucleotides) under uncultured bacterium. RNAcentral describes it as "partial 16S ribosomal RNA". It matches the Rfam family "Bacterial small subunit ribosomal RNA", at positions 338 to 795 of the family's 1533-position model. The record is from RNAcentral.